Molecule: ribosomal RNA, 442 nt
Filed under: Pediococcus acidilactici
Lineage: Bacteria; Bacillati; Bacillota; Bacilli; Lactobacillales; Lactobacillaceae
Description: bacterial SSU rRNA
Rfam family: Bacterial small subunit ribosomal RNA
Source: RNAcentral
CUCAGCGCUCUGACGCAGUCUGAUGGAGCACGCCGCGUGAGUGAAGAAGGGUUUCGGCUCGUAAAGCUCUGUUGUUAAAGAAGAACGUGGGUGAGAGUAACUGUUCACCCAGUGACGGUAUUUAACCAGAAAGCCACGGCUAACUACGUGCCAGCAGCCGCGGUAAUACGUAGGUGGCAAGCGUUAUCCGGAUUUAUUGGGCGUAAAGCGAGCGCAGGCGGUCUUUUAAGUCUAAUGUGAAAGCCUUCGGCUCAACCGAAGAAGUGCAUUGGAAACUGGGAGACUUGAGUGCAGAAGAGGACAGUGGAACUCCAUGUGUAGCGGUGAAAUGCGUAGAUAUAUGGAAGAACACCAGUGGCGAAGGCGGCUGUCUGGUCUGUAACUGACGCUGAGGCUCGAAAGCAUGGGUAGCGAACAGGAUUAGAUACACCCAGUAGUCAAA